GUGGUUUAAGAUCUAACACUGGCCUGUCGUUUUACACGCACACAUGCAGUCGACGCGAAGGUACAUACCCCAGUGAGUGGCGACACGGGUGAGUAAUAUGUGGGUAACUCUGCCUCCAGAGGGGGAUAACCUGCGAAAGCCGGGCUAAUACCGCGUAUGUUACUUGGUCUUCGGAUCGAGCAAUUAAAGAUGGGUGAACCGCAAGGUCCUAUCGCUGGAAGAUGAGCCCACAUACCUAUCACU
RNAcentral lists this ribosomal RNA (243 nucleotides) under uncultured bacterium. RNAcentral's name for it is "partial 16S ribosomal RNA". It matches the Rfam family "Bacterial small subunit ribosomal RNA", at positions 1 to 245 of the family's 1533-position model. The record is from RNAcentral.